CCUACGGGAGGCUGCAGUGGGGAAUAUUGGACAAUGGGGGGAACCCUGAUCCAGCCAUGCCGCGUGUGUGAAGAAGGCCCUCGGGUUGUAAAGCACUUUCAGUGAGGAAGAACGCCUGGUGGUUAAUACCCAUCAGGAAAGACAUCACUCACAGAAGAAGCACCGGCUAACUCCGUGCCAGCAGUCGCGGUAAUACGGAGGGUGCGAGCGUUAAUCGGAAUUACUGGGCGUAAAGCGCGCGUAGGUGGCUUGAUAAGCCGGUUGUGAAAGCCCCGGGCUCAACCUGGGAACGGCAUCCGGAACUGUCAAGCUAGAGUGCAGGAGAGGAAGGUAGAAUUCCCGGUGUAGCGGUGAAAUGCGUAGAGAUCGGGAGGAAUACCAGUGGCGAAGGCGGCCUUCUGGACUGACACUGACACUGAGGUGCGAAAGCGUGGGUAGCAAACAGGAUUAGAUACCCCGGUAGUC
RNAcentral lists this ribosomal RNA (465 nucleotides) under Vreelandella stevensii. Its description in RNAcentral is "partial 16S ribosomal RNA". It matches the Rfam family "Bacterial small subunit ribosomal RNA", at positions 338 to 795 of the family's 1533-position model. The record is from RNAcentral. Lineage: Bacteria; Pseudomonadati; Pseudomonadota; Gammaproteobacteria; Oceanospirillales; Halomonadaceae.